Molecule: ribosomal RNA, 253 nt
Filed under: uncultured bacterium
Lineage: Bacteria
Description: partial 16S ribosomal RNA
Rfam family: Bacterial small subunit ribosomal RNA
Source: RNAcentral
UACGUAGGGGGCAAGCGUUGUCCGGAAUCAUUGGGCGUAAAGCGCGUGUAGGCGGCCAGAUAAGUCCGCUGUGAAAACUCGAGGCUCAACUUCGAGCUGUCGGUGGAAACUAUCUGGCUAGAGUCCGGAAGAGGAGAGUGGAAUUCCUGGUGUAGCGGUGAAAUGCGCAGAUAUCAGGAAGAACACCCGUGGCGAAGGCGGCUCUCUGGGACGGUACUGACGCUGAGACGCGAAAGCGUGGGGAGCGAACAGG